CCUACGGGAGGCAGCAGUGGGGAAUAUUGGACAAUGGGCGAAAGCCUGAUCCAGCAAUGCCGCGUGAGUGAUGAAGGCCUUCGGGUCGUAAAGCUCUUUUACCAGGGAUGAUAAUGACAGUACCUGGAGAAUAAGCUCCGGCUAACUCCGUGCCAGCAGCCGCGGUAAUACGGAGGGAGCUAGCGUUGUUCGGAAUUACUGGGCGUAAAGAGUACGUAGGCGGUUAUUCAAGUCAGAGGUGAAAGCCCGGGGCUCAACCCCGGAACUGCCUUUGAAACUAGAUAACUAGAGUCUUGGAGAGGUUAGUGGAAUUCCGAGUGUAGAGGUGAAAUUCGUAGAUAUUCGGAAGAACACCAGUGGCGAAGGCGACUAACUGGACAAGUACUGACGCUGAGGUACGAAAGCGUGGGGAGCAAACAGGAUUAGAUACCCUGGUAGUCCACGCCGUAAACGAUGAUAACUAGUUGUUCGGUCACUUGGUUGACUGAGUGACGCAGCUAACGCAUUAAGUUAUCGCCUGGGAGUACGGUCGCAGAUAAACUACAAAUGAAUUGACGGCUGGUAGAGUUGCGACGACGACGACGAGGAGGAGG
This 593-nucleotide ribosomal RNA is filed under the name uncultured bacterium. RNAcentral describes it as "bacterial SSU rRNA". It matches the Rfam family "Bacterial small subunit ribosomal RNA", at positions 338 to 956 of the family's 1533-position model. The record is from RNAcentral.